CACGGGGGGAGCAAGCGUUGUUCGGAAUCACUGGGCGUAAAGGGUGUCUAGGCGGUCAGGUAAGUGAGAUGUGAAAUGCCCCGGCUUACCCGGGGACCGGCAUCUCAUACUGUCUGGCUUGAGUAUGGGAGAGGAUGAGGGAAUUCCUGGUGUAGCGGUGAAAUGCGUAGAUAUCAGGAGGAACACCGGUGGCGAAAGCGCUCAUCUGGCCCAAUACUGACGCUGAAGCACGAAAGCUAGGGGAGCAAACAGG
Molecule: ribosomal RNA, 253 nt
Filed under: uncultured bacterium
Lineage: Bacteria
Description: partial 16S ribosomal RNA
Rfam family: Bacterial small subunit ribosomal RNA
Source: RNAcentral